Mesocricetus auratus (golden hamster) is the source of this 1376-nucleotide long non-coding RNA. RefSeq lists it as uncharacterized. The transcript is spliced from 3 exons. NCBI's taxonomy places the organism in Eukaryota, Metazoa, Chordata, Mammalia, Rodentia, Cricetidae. The record is from RefSeq and is a predicted model, not a curated record.
UGUAGCUGGGAAGAGGGAAGCAGAGCUGCAUCAGGAGGGAAUUAGCCUUCUGAGGACACAGAAGCAACAGCUCAGUGAGGUGAGGAGAGAGAAAGCAAGGGAGUACACAAAGUCUCAUCUACAGAAGCGAGGAUAUGUGUGGGAGAAGAUAUGGAAGGAUCCAGAGCAGGUUCCCCACCCUGAGGCUGAGUUGGUAAUCUUCCUCCUGGAGAGGAAGCACGAGGACACCUAGAGCACCGGUGCCUUCCACACCAGUGAGAUAGAUACCAGGAUGGGGAGCAAGUGGGUGAGGAAAUCUUCAUGGUGACACACGCAACAGGGCAAGUAAGGAUGGUUGCUGUCACUGUCAGAGCUUCCGGCCCCCCCACCCCCACCCCUCCAGGCCCCCAUAACGUGGUUCAGAUCUCUCGUUCCAAACUCCAUCCUCCUGGACCUCGCUGUGGGAUCGUGUGUCCGCAUGGCCCAAAGGAGAGUCCCCUCCCCAAAAGAGAAAGCACCUCACUGUGGAGAAAUGCUUACCGAUUGGCACACCCGGGGGACUCAGGUGGAGAGCGACAGGAUCCCGGGCCACAGAACUCUCCCGCACCACAACCUCUGCGCCCUAACGUUAAUCUCCAAAGUCUUAAGACAGUCGGGAAAUCAAAGCAGCUGCUUGAUGACCUGGAUCGUCGCCACUUGCCCAUCCCCAAGUCCAGAGGCCAUGCUUUGAAGCGGGGGUGGUGCCCAAUCUCAUCUGUAGAGUAGCUCUCCUGUUCAUGUUCCCCCAUGCCCUGCCUCUCCACAUAGUUCCUUCCCCUUGGGCUCCUCGGUGGAAUCCCAUCCCUUUCUUCUCCUCACGGUGACUGGAUGUGUGCCCGCGGUCUACUCCUUUCCUUGGGCCCAUGGUUUCCUAUCAGCAGUGAGCAUGCCAUGCAUGCCUGCGGGACCAAAGCCCACUUCUGUCUGAUCCUCAAAAGAGGCCCCCUGUGCUUGCAGAGAAGGACCGCAGACUUUGAAGGACCACAACACAGGAGAACCACAAAGGGCUCAUGCGCCACAGCUGCUCACAGUUCAUGCCAGGAUGCAGGUGGUUCCUGUCAUUACCUGGGCCACCACCAGGCCCAGUGAGGCAGAACACUGUGGACUCUGGGCUCCUGACACAGCUCCCUAAGGACACUGAUCUUCUUGGGGACUCCCAAGAAGUUACCCCACACCCCUCCUGUGAGCGUGGGCACACGGAGCUCUCCCUUAGGGACUCCAGUCCUGACCCAUAGGAAUUCCCAACCGUAUGGAAAUAUGGGAGGCAGAUGAUGUUCAUACCAUUACCUCGGUCGUCCCCUUCCCACGCUCUGUAUCCAUACACCCCACUGGUACAUCCUAGCUCCCUGUUUACUGUG